Molecule: transfer RNA, 67 nt
Filed under: Habrophlebiodes zijinensis
Lineage: Eukaryota; Metazoa; Arthropoda; Insecta; Ephemeroptera; Leptophlebiidae
Description: tRNA-Ser
Source: RNAcentral
AGUUAAUCCACUAAGGUAAUUUAUGUUUUGAAAACAUAUAAAAGAGGUUUAGACUCUCUAUUAACUU